RNAcentral lists this ribosomal RNA (600 nucleotides) under uncultured bacterium. Its description in RNAcentral is "bacterial SSU rRNA". It matches the Rfam family "Bacterial small subunit ribosomal RNA", at positions 880 to 1482 of the family's 1533-position model. The record is from RNAcentral.
GUACGGUCGCAAGACUAAAACUCAAAGGAAUUGACGGGGGCCCGCACAAGCAGCGGAGCGUGUUGCUUAAUUCGAUGCUACGCGAAGAACCUUACCUGGGCUUGACAUGUUUGGAAAAGCAACAGAGAUGUUGUGUCCGAAAGGGCCAAUCACAGGUGGUGCAUGGCCGUCGUCAGCUCGUGUCGUGAGAUGUUGGGUUAAGUCCCGCAACGAGCGCAACCCUUGUUCCAUGUUGCCAGCAGGUAAAGCUGGGGACUCAUGGAAGACCGCCGGGGUCAACUCGGAGGAAGGUGGGGAUGACGUCAAGUCCUCAUGCCCCUUAUGUCCAGGGCUGCAAACACGCUACAAUGGCCGGUACAAAGAGAUGCUAGAACGCGAGUUCAUGCCAAUCUCAUAAAGCCGGUCUCAGUUCGGAUUGAAGUCUGCAACUCGACUUCAUGAAGCUGGAGUUGCUAGUAAUCCCGGAUCAGCACGCCGGGGUGAAUACGUUCCCGGGCCUUGUACACACCGCCCAUCACACCACGAAAGUCGGCAACACCCGAAGCCGGUGGCCUAACCGUAAGGAAGGAACCGUCGAAGGUGGGGUCGGUGAUUGGGGUG